GACAGAGGGGGCAAGCGUUGCUCGGAAUCACUGGGCGUAAAGGGCGCGUAGGCGGGAUGGCAAGUCAGUCGUGAAAUCUCUCGGCUCAACCGAGAAACGUCGGCUGAUACUGCCGUUCUUGAGGGAUGCAGAGGAGACUGGAAUUCCCGGUGUAGCGGUGAAAUGUGUAGAGAUCGGGAGGAACACCGGUGGCGAAGGCGGGUCCCUGGGCAUCUCCUGACGCUGAGGCGCGAAAGCGUGGGGAGCAAACGGG
Molecule: ribosomal RNA, 253 nt
Filed under: uncultured bacterium
Lineage: Bacteria
Description: partial 16S ribosomal RNA
Rfam family: Bacterial small subunit ribosomal RNA
Source: RNAcentral